This 1200-nucleotide ribosomal RNA is filed under the name uncultured crenarchaeote. Its description in RNAcentral is "bacterial SSU rRNA". It matches the Rfam family "Archaeal small subunit ribosomal RNA", at positions 204 to 1406 of the family's 1478-position model. Lineage: Archaea; Thermoproteati; Thermoproteota. The record is from RNAcentral.
UUAGGAUGGGACUGCGACCGAUCAGGUNGUUGGUGGGGUAAUGGCNUACCAAGCCGAUUACCGGUGCGGGCUUUGAGAGAAGGAGCCCGNAGAUGGACANUGAGAAAAGGGUCCAGGCCCUACGGGGCGCAGCAGGCGCGAAAACUUUGCAAUGUGCGAAAGCACGACAAGGUUAAUCCGAGUGCAACAUGCUGAAUGUAGCUUUUGGUAAAUGUAAAUAGUUUAUUGAAUAAGGGGAGGGAAAGUCUGGUGUCAGCCGCCGCGGUAAUACCAGCUCCCCGAGUGGUCGGGNCGAUUAUUGGGCCUAAAGCAUCCGUAGCCUGUUCUGUAGGUCUUAUGUUAAAAUCAAUUGCUUAACAAUUGAACUGCAUGAGAUACCACAAAACUAGGAGGCGGGAGAGGUGGACGGUACUCCACGGGUAGGGGUAAAAUCCCCUGAACCGUGGAAGACCACCAGUGGCGAAGGCGGUCCACCAGAACGCGCUCGACGGUGAGGGAUGAAAGCUGGGGUAGCGAACCGGAUUAGAUACCCGGGUAGUCCCAGCUGUAAACGAUGCAAGCUAGGUGAUGCAUCAGCCACGUGUUGAUGCAGUGCCGCAGGGAAGCCGUUAAGCUUGCCGCCUGGGGAGUACGGUCGCAAGGCUGAAACUUAAAGGAAUUGGCGGGGGAGCACCACAAGGGGUGAAGCCUGCGGCUCAAUUGGAGUCAACGCCGGGAACCUUACCAGGAGAGACAGCAGAGUGAAGGUCAAGCUGAAGACUUUACCAGACAAGCUGAGAGGAGGCGCAUGGCCGUCGACAGCUCGUGCCGUGAGGCGUCCUGUUAAGUCAGGCAACGAGCGAGACCCUUGCCAUUAAUUGCUUCCAUCGAUCGAAAGGUUGGCGGAGCUAGUUAAUGGGACUGCCGUUGAUAAAACGGAGGAAGGAAGGGGCCACGGCAGGUCAGUAUGCCCCGAAACUCUUGGGCCACACGCGGGCUGCAAUGGUAGGCACAAUAGGUACCGAAUUCGAGAGAAUGAGGCAAUCCCAAAAUCCUACCCCAGUUGUGAUUGAGGGCUGCAACUCGCCCUCAUGAAUCUGGAAUCCCUAGUAACCGCGUGUCAACAUCGCGCGGUGAAUACGUCCCUGCUCCUUGCACACACCGCCCGUCGCUUCACCCGAGUUGGGUUUGGGGGAGAUAGUGUCUUAUUGACAUUAUCGA